CCUACGGGUGGCAGCAGUGGGGAAUAUUGGACAAUGGGCGAAAGCCUGAUCCAGCCAUGCCGCGUGUGUGAAGAAGGCCUUCGGGUUGUAAAGCACUUUCAGUGGGGAAGAAAGCCUUGGGGCUAAUACCCUCGAGGAAGGACAUCACCCACAGAAGAAGCACCGGCUAACUCCGUGCCAGCAGCCGCGGUAAUACGGAGGGUGCGAGCGUUAAUCGGAAUUACUGGGCGUAAAGCGCGCGUAGGCGGUCUGAUAAGCCGGUUGUGAAAGCCCCGGGCUCAACCUGGGAACGGCAUCCGGAACUGUCAGGCUAGAGUGCAGGAGAGGAAGGUAGAAUUCCCGGUGUAGCGGUGAAAUGCGUAGAGAUCGGGAGGAAUACCAGUGGCGAAGGCGGCCUUCUGGACUGACACUGACGCUGAGGUGCGAAAGCGUGGGUAGCAAACGGGAUUAGAUACCCCGGUAGUC
Molecule: ribosomal RNA, 465 nt
Filed under: Vreelandella stevensii
Lineage: Bacteria; Pseudomonadati; Pseudomonadota; Gammaproteobacteria; Oceanospirillales; Halomonadaceae
Description: partial 16S ribosomal RNA
Rfam family: Bacterial small subunit ribosomal RNA
Source: RNAcentral